GAUGAACGCUGGCGGCGUGCUUAACACAUGCAAGUCGAGCGAGAAGGUUAUGACGGAUUCUUCGGAUGAAGGAAUAGCUGGAAAGCGGCGGACGGGUGAGUAACGCGUGGGGUAACCUGCCUUGUACAGAGGGAUAGCCACUGGAAACGGUGAUUAAUACCUCAUGAAACUUAAUUAUCGCAUGGUGAUUAAGUCAAAACUCAGGUGGUACAAGAUGGACCCGCGUCUGAUUAGCUAGUUGGUGGGUAAAGGCUUACCAAGGCGACGAUCUUUAGCCGACCUGAGAGGGUGAUCGGCCACAUUGGGACUGAGACACGGCCCAAACUCCUACGGGAGGCAGCAGUGGGGAUAUUGCACAAUGGAGGAACUCUGAUGCAGCAACGCCGCGUGAA
Molecule: ribosomal RNA, 392 nt
Filed under: uncultured bacterium
Lineage: Bacteria
Description: bacterial SSU rRNA
Rfam family: Bacterial small subunit ribosomal RNA
Source: RNAcentral